GCGUAUUCACCUUGAGUUGAUCUGGCUCUAGCGAACGCCGGCGGUCGUAUUAANCNUNNNNGAACGGUAGAAGUCCUUCGGGGCUUUGAGAGNNCNNUAACGGGGGAGUAACACGUAGGUAAUCUGUCUCGGGGUUGGGGAUAGCCCAUGGAAACAUGGGGUAAUACCGAAUGCGUCUGUGUCCACAGAAGUGGAGACAGGGAAAGGCGCUUAGGCGCCGUCCUGAGGUGAGCCUGCGGUCCAUUAGUUAGUUGGUGGGGUAAGAGCCUACCAAGGCGACGAUGGAUAGCCGGCCUGAGAGGGUGAUCGGCCACACUGGGACUGAGACACGGCCCAGACUCCUACGGGAGGCAGCAGCUAAGAAUCUUCCGCAAUGGGCGAAAGCCUGACGGAGCGAUGCCGCGUGAGCGAAGAAGGCCGGAAGGUUGUAAAGCUCUUUUCUCGGAGAGGAAUAAGGCCGGCAGGAAAUGGCCGGCAGAUGACGUUAACCGAGGAAUAAGCCCCGGCUAAUUACGUGCCAGCAGCCGCGGUAACACGUAAGGGGCGAGCGUUGUUCGGAAUUAUUGGGCGUAAAGGGCGUGUAGGCGGUCGUGCAAGCCUGGUGUGUAAGGCUACGGCUUAACCGUAGGAUUGCGCUGGGAACUGCAUGGCUAGAGUCCGGAAAGGGGAGGUAGAAUUCCUGGUGUAGGGGUGAAAUCUGUAGAUAUCAGGAAGAAUACCGGUGGCGAAGGCGACCUCCUGGUCUAGGACUGACGCUGAGGCGCGAAAGCGUGGGGAGCGAACAGGAUAAGAUACCGUGGUAGUCACGCUGUAAACGAUGUGCACUANGUGUGGGGUGACGUACCCUCAGUGCCGUACCUAACGCGANAGUGCACCGCCCUGGGAGUAGCUCGCAAGGUGAAACUCAAAGGGAAUGAGGGGGCCCGCCAAAGCGGUGG
RNAcentral lists this ribosomal RNA (938 nucleotides) under uncultured bacterium. Its description in RNAcentral is "bacterial SSU rRNA". It matches the Rfam family "Bacterial small subunit ribosomal RNA", at positions 1 to 935 of the family's 1533-position model. The record is from RNAcentral.